Molecule: ribosomal RNA, 473 nt
Filed under: uncultured bacterium
Lineage: Bacteria
Description: bacterial SSU rRNA
Rfam family: Bacterial small subunit ribosomal RNA
Source: RNAcentral
UGGGGAAUCUUGGACAAUGGGGGCAACCCUGAUCCAGCCAUGCCGCGUGAGUGAUGAAGGCCUUAGGGUCGUAAAGCUCUUUCGCCUGUGAAGAUAAUGACGGUAGCAGGUAAAGAAACCCCGGCUAACUCCGUGCCAGCAGCCGCGGUAAUACGGAGGGGGUUAGCGUUGUUCGGAAUUACUGGGCGUAAAGCGCACGUAGGCGGACCAGAAAGUUGGGGGUGAAAUCCCGGGGGCUCAACCCCGGAACUGCCUCCAAAACUAUUGGUCUAGAGUUCGAGAGAGGUGAGUGGAAUUCCAAGUGUAGAGGUGAAAUUCGUAGAUAUUUGGAGGAACACCAGUGGCGAAGGCGGCUCACUGGCUCGAUACUGACGCUGAGGUGCGAAAGUGUGGGGAGCAAACAGGAUUAGAUACCCUGGUAGUCCACACCGUAAAACGAUGAAUGCCAGUCGUCGGGUAGCAUGCUAUUCGGU